GGGUUGCAAAGAGUCAGAAUGACUAAAUGGCCAAGCACAUGCAUGCACAUCAGACUGUAAGGAGUUUCUAUUUUAUUUUUCCAUCUCAUGGCUCAAUAGUCUAGAUCAAGGAUCACAACCUUUGACCCAUGGGCAAAAUCCAGCCCACGGCCUCCAGUAUUUGUGGGAAGGAUGAUGAAAUCCACAAGAGAAGAUAUUGAACUUGAAUGUUAUUCCCAUCAGUUUCUGAGAUAUGAAGGCAGAAAAAGAAAAAAGAGAAAAAUUGGGAGAAAAAGCAUCCUGAGAAGUCUUUCCGCUCCACCUCUGCAAUGUUUCAAGUGUGAAAGUUGGUUAAUGCUUAAUACUUCUUACCUUGGGGUUGUGGAUACCUGUGGUUUAAGGCAUUAGAAAAGCGAUCAGCUUGCUCUGGAUGAAAUUGCUGCAGAAUAAACAGCCUUACA
Molecule: long non-coding RNA, 440 nt
Organism: Cervus elaphus (red deer)
Lineage: Eukaryota; Metazoa; Chordata; Mammalia; Artiodactyla; Cervidae
Exons: 3
Source: RefSeq, a predicted model, not a curated record